UUUUCAGCCGCCGCGGUAAUACGUAGGGUGCGAGCGUUAAUCGGAAUUACUGGGCGUAAAGUGUGCGCAGGCGGCUGAGCAAGUCGAGUGUGAAAUCCCCGGGCUUAACUUGGGAAUUGCGCUCGAAACUACUCGGCUGGAGUGUGGCAGAGGAAGGUGGAAUUCCACGUGUAGCGGUGAAAUGCGUAGAGAUGUGGAGGAACACCGAUGGCGAAGGCAGCCUUCUGGGCCAACACUGACGCUCAUGCACGAAAGCGUGGGGAGCAAACAGGAUUAGAAACCCCUGUAGUCC
Molecule: ribosomal RNA, 292 nt
Filed under: uncultured bacterium
Lineage: Bacteria
Description: partial 16S ribosomal RNA
Rfam family: Bacterial small subunit ribosomal RNA
Source: RNAcentral